This 1525-nucleotide ribosomal RNA is filed under the name Paracoccaceae bacterium. RNAcentral describes it as "partial 23S ribosomal RNA". It matches the Rfam family "Bacterial large subunit ribosomal RNA", at positions 1271 to 2925 of the family's 2925-position model. Lineage: Bacteria; Pseudomonadati; Pseudomonadota; Alphaproteobacteria; Rhodobacterales; Paracoccaceae. The record is from RNAcentral.
CGGUGGAGAGAUCACUAGUGAGAAUGAUGACAUGAGUAGCGACAAAGAGUGUGAGAGACACUCUCGCCGAAAGUCCAAGGGUUCCUGCUUAAAGCUAAUCUGAGCAGGGUAAGCCGACCCCUAAGUCGAGGCCGAAGGGCGUAGACGAUGGGAACCAGGUUAAUAUUCCUGGGCCAGGAGAUGGUGACGGAUUGUGAAGGUUGUUCCUCCUUAUUGGAUUGGAGGGGCCGCUGAUCAGUCCCUGGAAAUAGCCCUCCAUAAGAUCGUACCCUAAACCGACACAGGUGGACUGGUAGAGAAUACCAAGGCGCUUGAGAGAACUACAUUGAAGGAACUCGGCAAAAUACCUCCGUAAGUUCGCGAGAAGGAGGCCCAGUUUCUACGCAAGUAUUGGCUGGGGGCACAAACCAGGGGGUGGCGACUGUUUACUAAAAACACAGGGCUCUGCGAAGUCGCAAGACGACGUAUAGGGUCUGACGCCUGCCCGGUGCCUGAAGGUUAAAAGGAGGGGUGAGAGCUCCGAAUUGAAGCCCAGGUAAACGGCGGCCGUAACUAUAACGGUCCUAAGGUAGCGAAAUUCCUUGUCGGGUAAGUUCCGACCUGCACGAAUGGCGUAACGACUUCCCCGCUGUCUCCAAUGUAGACUCAGCGAAAUUGAAUUGCCUGUCAAGAUGCAGGCUUCCCGCGGUUAGACGGAAAGACCCCGUGCACCUUUACUACAGCUUCGCACUGGCAUCAGAAUUGUGAUGUGCAGGAUAGGUGGUGGGCUUUGAAACCGGAACGCCAGUUUCGGUGGAGCCUCCCUUGAGAUACCACCCUUCGCACUUUUGAUGUCUAACCGCGGUCCGUUAUCCGGAUCCGGGACCCUGCGUGGCGGGUAGUUUGACUGGGGCGGUCGCCUCCUAAAGAGUAACGGAGGCGCGCGAAGGUUGGCUCAGAGCGGUCGGAAAUCGCUCGUUGAGUGCAAUGGCAGAAGCCAGCCUGACUGCGAGACUGACAAGUCGAGCAGAGUCGAAAGACGGCCAUAGUGAUCCGGUGGUCCCGAGUGGAAGGGCCAUCGCUCAACGGAUAAAAGGUACGCCGGGGAUAACAGGCUGAUACUGCCCAAGAGUCCAUAUCGACGGCAGUGUUUGGCACCUCGAUGUCGGCUCAUCUCAUCCUGGGGCUGGAGCAGGUCCCAAGGGUACGGCUGUUCGCCGUUUAAAGAGGUACGUGAGCUGGGUUUAGAACGUCGUGAGACAGUUCGGUCCCUAUCUGCCGUGGGUGUAGGAUACUUGAGAGGAGUUGCCCCUAGUACGAGAGGACCGGGGUGAACGAUCCACUGGUGGACCUGUUGUUGCGCCAGCAGCAGUGCAGGGUAGCUAUGAUCGGACAGGAUAACCGCUGAAGGCAUCUAAGCGGGAAGCCCCCCUCAAAACAAGGUAUCCCUGAGAGCCGUGGAAGACCACCACGUCGAUAGGCCGGAGAUGUAAGCGCAGUAAUGCGUUCAGUUGACCGGUACUAAUGGCUCGAUAGGCUUGAUUUG